Molecule: ribosomal RNA, 400 nt
Filed under: uncultured Alphaproteobacteria bacterium
Lineage: Bacteria; Pseudomonadati; Pseudomonadota; Alphaproteobacteria
Description: bacterial SSU rRNA
Rfam family: Bacterial small subunit ribosomal RNA
Source: RNAcentral
AACGAACGCUGGCGGCAGGCCUAACACAUGCAAGUCGAGCGCGCCUUUCGGGGUGAGCGGCGGACGGGUUAGUAACGCGUGGGAACGUACCCUUUUCUGCGGAAUAGCCUCUGGAAACGGAGAGUAAUACCGCAUACGCCCUUUGGGGGAAAGAUUUAUCGGAGAAGGAUCGGCCCGCGUUAGAUUAGAUAGUUGGUGGGGUAACGGCUUACCAAGUCUACGAUCUAUAGCUGGUUUUAGAGGAUGAUCAGCAACACUGGGACUGAGACACGGCCCAGACUCCUACGGGAGGCAGCAGUGGGGAAUCUUGGACAAUGGGCGCAAGCCUGAUCCAGCCAUGCCGCGUGAGUGAAGAAGGCCUUAGGGUCGUAAAGCUCUUUCGCCUGUGAUGAUAAUGACA